ACUGCAAUCUCCUCCUACUUCGCCACUUCCCGCCACCACCUCCUCUGAGUCAGUGAGUCCCUGACCCAACCCGCCCUCUCUAAUAUUUUGAAUUUUUGUGUUCUUUCCUUUAAACUUUGAUUAAACGCAUCAGUAAUGACAGAGUUGUAAAUUUGAUUCAAUUUGGUACGAGUUUGAAUAAAGGAGGGCGAUUUUUAGCCAAAUUUAUAAAUUUGAUAUAUAGGGUUUGAGUCAAGGAUUAGAGAUACCAUGUAGAACUAUUUGGAAAUUGUUUGUUUACAUUUGUAUUGGAUGCAUGCUUGCUUGCAUUGUAUAUUGUUGUACGUAUAUGUUAAAUAUGUUUGGUUUGGUUUGGGGGUUACUUUUUGCAGAACUAAAAAUGGAGCAGAGACUGGCUAAUACCUUGAGGAUGACUGUUAAUGAGAAGAAAUUCAUCGAGACUGCUUUACUAUCGGACCUUAGAGUUGAUGGUCGCCGUCCAUUUGAUUAUAGACGGCUUACUAUCAAGUUUGGUAGGUAAGGAUGGUUAAUGUGGCAGUCCGUCUAUGUUAAUGGAGAUUUAUAAAGUAGUGCAGCUAUGUUUUAGCCUCUAGAGAUUAAGAUGCUUUUGUUUGUGUAUGUCAAUUGACUUGGGAAGAGAUUUGCCAAUGAUUUAAUUAGUCAACUGUUAUUUCUCCCAAAUGUUUUGAAUGGUUAGUUUAAGGACCCAGUCCUUUUGUUCAAUAAUCAGUGUGUGUGAAAUCCUCCUAGCUGCUUUGAUGGCGACUUAGGAGGAGAUUGUUGUACCUGGAGUGGUGGCUGUCGAGUGCGUCGUUGCCGGAGAAAAUUCGUCCGAUGAGUUGUGUCGUUUACGAAUUUCGAACGAAAUGAGAGGUGAGGUCUUGAAACCGAACGGCUGAAGGUGAGAGGUGAGGGAAUGAGAGAAACCUAACCCUAAUGACAAUAUAUAUGUAUAUAUAUGGCCUUAUAAACCGGCUGCGAGAGGUGAGGUCAUCGGCGGCGUGAGCAAGGAGAGGGGUAAGGGAGGCGAGAGCCGCUGUCUCUAAGCGAAUAGGGUUUACACUAUGUUUGGGAACUCGGAGAAAAAUAAAUGAAUUGAAUCGUUCAGUUAUUUUUCUCUCAUUUUUAUUUGAAUAAGUAUACCAUUUAUCUAUUUAUCUAUAUCUAUCAAUACUAUCUAGGGCAAUGAUAGAAACCACUAAAAGUGGUGUCUUAAAGUAACCAUUAAUGAUGUGGCAUUUAUUUUGUGUUAAAAAAAAAAAAAAAAACACAGACACAACAACAUUGUAGCCGUGGGUGGGACCCACUGCCACAUCAUUGGUGGUAGCACUAAUUAGUACUCUCACUCAUUUUCCUACUAUCUAUAUAAGUAAAUGUAGUAAUACCCUCCUUUCACAUGACUUCCUCUCUCACAUGUCUCUCUUCCCUACUUAUAUAUAGUUACACUGUUUGAUGAGUUAUUGACAAUGAAGGCAAUUCAGCAGCAGAGAUUUGCUGCGGCUUCACAGUUUAUGUCUGGAGGUUCUUUCCCCUACGACAAAUGCAUGAACAUUAUGAAUAACUCACCAAGAUCUGCGGCAGUGACAUUGAUGAUUGGGGAUGAAUACCUCAAAUUCGGUUGCUGCCGAACUGAAAGGAAUGAUUUUUCAGCUACAGGAUUCGGAGGAAAUGCGAAUUCUUGUUCUAGACAGAUUUAUUUGACAUUUCCAGCUGAUAGUACAUUUAGGGAAGAGGAUGUUGCCAAUUACUUUAGCAAGUUUGGACCAGCGCAAGGUGUGAGGAUUCCAUACCAGCAGAAGCAAAUGUUUGGGUUCGUUACAUUCCUUUACCUGGAGACUGUGAAGAUCAUUUUGGCCAAAGGGAACCCUCAUUUCGUUUGUGAUUCAUGUGUUCUCGUUAAGCCGUACAAGGAGAAAGGUAAAAUCCUUGACAAGAAGCAACAGCACCAUCAGUUGGAGAGAGGAGAAUUUUCAUCGUGUUUAAGCCCGUCUGGGAUUGACUCUGGAGGGCCCUACGAUCUCCCCAUUGGACCAAGUAUGUUUUACAAUACUCCAGAGAUAAUGUUGAGAAGGAAAUUAGAGGAACAGGCUGAAUUGCAGCAAGCUAUUGAGCUCCACGAAAGAAGACUUAUGAAUUUGCAACUUAUGGACUUGAAGAAUCAUCAUCACAGUCAUCAAUUCCAGACGAACAUGGUGCCUAACAUUCCCAUUGCCUCUCCUGCUCAACCUCACCUCCAUAUUAAUCAGAGUCUUGCGUUUCGAUCUGACGGUGUUAAUCAGGAAGCCUCAGAAGAGAAUUAUAGUAGCCCAGCUGCAUCCAAUUCUCUAACUGUUGCCACUGAACGGCAGCAGCAACAUCAACAGCAAGACGCAAAAGAAGCUUGUAAUAACAGCAAUGCCCGUGACAGUGGCGACAGCAAGGAGCAAUUCUCCAACCUUGAAGAUGCUGAUCUCCAUGAAAGUUUAGAGCACAUCCUCCCUGAUAACCUCUUUGCUUCUCCUAUAAAAUCGGCCGGUGAACACUACUCUAUUUUCUCCACUGCUUCACCAGAAGCCGAUGAUAGCACCUUAGUAACAACUACAUCAUCUAACAACAUCCCAAUGCUGCCCACCACUUCCACCCUCAAUAUGGCUUCUCUGUUAUCAUGUUCUUUCCAAAUGCCAAGGUACCACUGCUUCUGCUGGUGCUGCUGCUGCUGCUCUCUCUCUCUCUCUCUCUGACUAGAGUGAGUGAAGUUAAUUCAAAUUAGUAUUGUUGUUUACAAGGUUUUCUUCUGGGCAAGAAGCCAUUGAAAUGUAGGUGAUGGGGGUGACCAUGAUCAGCAUGUUGGGCGUUGACUUUAGCUUGGAAAAGUUGAGUAGAGCAUAUAGAAGGAAGAAAAAGUCAUCUAGCUGUAUAGCCAAACCAUACCAUCAACAAAAAAGAAAAAGAUCUGUAAGGAAGAUCUCCUCAAGAUUAUUGUCAUCAUCAAUACCAUGCUCUAGUUACAAGUAUACAUAAUGCAUGCAUAAAGGACAGAUGAACUAAUUUAUGGGAGUGGGGUCUGUCUUUAUUUUUGUACCCUCUCUGUAGUUGUAGUUGUAGUUGUAGUUGUGUGCUGGACCACACACAGUACAAUAUAUAUAGCAUAACAAAACAGUUACUAGUAACUCUUGUUAUAUUGUUAAUUUACCUUUUUUUUUCAAAAAUUUAUUAUAUAUAAUAUUGUUUA
Non-coding RNA from Camellia sinensis, 3211 nucleotides. The record is from RefSeq and is a predicted model, not a curated record. NCBI's taxonomy places the organism in Eukaryota, Viridiplantae, Streptophyta, Magnoliopsida, Ericales, Theaceae.